CUUCUCUUGCCUAUCUGCUUCAGUCUAUGUUCCUCAGUUCCUUGUUGCUGUCUCUGGGGUGGCUGCUGAUGAUACUGCCUGCUCCUGUGCCUGGUCCUCCUGAAUCCUCCUCCUGAUCUCUGGAUACAACUUUGCCUGCUUUUGUUGGUCUGCUGGGCUGCUUGUAGCUGCUGAUGUUUGGAACUUUGGAACUCACAAACUUGGAGCAGAUCUCCAGCCAACUGAUAAGAAUGAAUCAGAGGCAUGAGGUGACCUGUCCAAGGUC
Molecule: long non-coding RNA, 265 nt
Filed under: Monodelphis domestica (gray short-tailed opossum)
Lineage: Eukaryota; Metazoa; Chordata; Mammalia; Didelphimorphia; Didelphidae
Description: lncRNA (ENSMODG00000037270.1)
Source: RNAcentral